RNAcentral lists this ribosomal RNA (207 nucleotides) under uncultured bacterium. RNAcentral's name for it is "partial 16S ribosomal RNA". It matches the Rfam family "Bacterial small subunit ribosomal RNA", at positions 568 to 774 of the family's 1533-position model. The record is from RNAcentral.
UGCGCAGGCGGUUUGUUAAGCGAGAUGUGAAAGCCCCGGGCUUAACCUGGGAAUCGCAUUUGGAACUGGCAGACUAGAGUCUUGUAGAGGGGGGUAGAAUUCCAGGUGUAGCGGUGAAAUGCGUAGAGAUCUGGAGGAAUACCGGUGGCGAAGGCGGCCCCCUGGACAAAGACUGACGCUCAGGCACGAAAGCGUGGGGAGCAAACA